GUGGCUAUAGUUUAACGGUAGAACAGUGGGUUGUGGUCCCACUGGCCUGGGUUCAACUCCCAGUAGCCACCCCA
Molecule: transfer RNA, 74 nt
Filed under: Candidatus Falkowiibacteriota bacterium
Lineage: Bacteria; Candidatus Falkowiibacteriota
Description: tRNA-His
Rfam family: tRNA
About the family: Transfer RNA (tRNA) molecules are approximately 80 nucleotides in length. Their secondary structure includes four short double-helical elements and three loops (D, anti-codon, and T loops).
Source: RNAcentral